UACGGAGGGUGCAAGCGUUAUCCGGAUUCACUGGGUUUAAAGGGUGCGUAGGAGGGCAGGGAAGUCCGUGGUGAAAUCCUAGAGCUUAACUCUAGAACUGCCGUGGAUACUCUCUGUCUUGAAUCCCGUGGAGAUGAGCGGAAUAUGUCAUGUAGCGGUGAAAUGCUUAGAUAUGACAUAGAACACCAAUUGCGAAGGCAGCUCGUUACACGAAGAUUGACUCUGAGGCACGAAAGCGUGGGGAGCAAACAGG
Molecule: ribosomal RNA, 253 nt
Filed under: uncultured bacterium
Lineage: Bacteria
Description: partial 16S ribosomal RNA
Rfam family: Bacterial small subunit ribosomal RNA
Source: RNAcentral